This 468-nucleotide ribosomal RNA is filed under the name uncultured bacterium. Its description in RNAcentral is "partial 16S ribosomal RNA". It matches the Rfam family "Bacterial small subunit ribosomal RNA", at positions 28 to 507 of the family's 1533-position model. The record is from RNAcentral.
GACGAACGCUGGCGGCGUGCUUAACACAUGCAAGUCGAACGGAAAGGCCCUGCUUUUGUGGGGUGCUCGAGUGGCGAACGGGUGAGUAACACGUGAGUAACCUGCCCUUGACUUUGGGAUAACUUCAGGAAACUGGGGCUAAUACCGGAUAGGAGCUCCUGCUGCAUGGUGGGGGUUGGAAAGUUUCGGCGGUUGGGGAUGGACUCGCGGCUUAUCAGCUUGUUGGUGGGGUAGUGGCUUACCAAGGCUUUGACGGGUAGCCAGCCUGAGAGGGUGACCGGCCACAUUGGGACUGAGAUACGGCCCAGACUCCUACGGGAGGCAGCAGUGGGGAAUAUUGCACAAUGGGCGGAAGCCUGAUGCAGCAACGCCGCGUGCGGGAUGACGGCCUUCGGGUUGUAAACCGCUUUCGCCUGUGACGAAGCGUGAGUGACGGUAAUGGGUAAAGAAGCACCGGCUAACUACGUG